This 2188-nucleotide long non-coding RNA is filed under the name Capra hircus (goat). RNAcentral's name for it is "lncRNA (ENSCHIG00010002438.1)". Lineage: Eukaryota; Metazoa; Chordata; Mammalia; Artiodactyla; Bovidae. The record is from RNAcentral.
AUGAAGAUACAAAUGAGUGAGGAUGUUUGCAGCAUUGUUUAUGAUGAUAAACAAAAAUUGAAAAUAACAGAAAUGUCAACCUGGACUUUUACCAGACCUUUUUAUGUCUCUUUUGCCAUAUCUAGGCAGAAUGUAAUUUCAAUAACCCUGAGAGUUGAACGAGUUGGGAACUCAGAUGACUAUAUCGUAACACUCACAGUUACAAGUCAUGUACCUGUAUACUUAGUGGUUAAAGCCACACUCGAAGGCUCUGAUGAUGUAACUUUUCCUUAUGGUAAUUUUGUUUACACGGCCUGUCUGUGUCCUAACUGUUCAAAAAAUUUCUUCUGGGACAUACAAGGACCUGGUAAGUGAAGAAGCUUCCUGCCUGACCGUUAGUGGCAGAUAAGGGGGAAUGCAAGGAGAGGAUAAAGUGAAAAGGGGUAAUCAAGACAUGGCCAAAAGCAGAGAAAAAAGGGAGUGAAGCAAAAAUGAAACACAAGACGUACAGGCAGUGUGAGCAAUGGCUCUAUGCGGAGGAAGUGAGGGCGGCUGGUAAAGGCUGCGUCUUGUAUAGGAGCCUGAGAAACGGGGCUGAGUGUCAGACAGUAAAAGGCAGGGUAGAAUGGUUUGUCGGUGGAUUCCAGCUGUCUAACAGAGCCUUGCUUCUUCUCUCUAGCAAAUGGGAUCCUAAUAGGGAAGGCUGAAGUCGUGUCAGAGGAAAAUAUAUGCCCUUCUGAUGUGGAAAUCUCCACCCCUGUUUACAAAGUUUGUAGCAAGCGUGAAAUCGUCGUAACACUCUGAUCUGGAGAGUCUGCUAACUCUGAGGUUGUGAGCAUCUGUGUGGAAUAGAAAAUAAACCUCCCACUGGCUUCUCACUGUGCUGUCUGUGUUCCUUCCCCAAAUCUUAGUACAGUGUCUGCUCAGACACCACAGUGUCCUAAUGAAUCAGUAUUUUAAUAAACCUUCUCAGGGAUGAUAAAUAAGCAUCCAUUUCCUAGCAGACGAGAAGAAAGAGAAGACAGGAAUUUACUCUCACCAUUAAAGUGGGACAGGAAAUAUCCAGAGGGAGAACUGCCCCUAGGGCUUAAAUUAAGGGCAGAACUGAGCGAUGGUUCUAAGGAGCGGUACCCAACCUUAUUGGAAUGAGGGACCAGUUUUGUGGAAGGCAAUUUUUCCAUGGACCUGGUGGUGGGGGGUGAUUUGGGGAUGAUUCAAGCACAUUAUAUUUAUUAUACACUUUAUUUCUAUUAUUAUACCAUCAGUUCCACCUCAGAUUAUCAGGCAUUAGAUCCCAGAGGCUGGGAACCCCAGAAUUAAGUUUCCCUUCUAUUUUAGGACAAUUACAUCCAGCUGCCUCUCCCAGUUAUUGGAAAGUUCAAUGAAUCUGAAGUCCUAAAAUUAUUAUCUCUUGCUGCUCCUGAAAUGGUAGCAAGGAAUAUACUCAUAGGAGCUCAGGUUUGCUGGGAUCCUGACCAGGAUGUUCCUUCCCUUCACCCAAGCUCCUUCAUCACAAUAAACCAAAACAAAAAGCAAGUAGAUACCUAUUGCUAGCGAGAAUGAGGGGCUAUGGGAACCAUUCAGNNNNNNNNNNNNNNNNNNNNNNNNNNNNNNNNNNNNNNNNNNNNNNNNNNCCAGAGACGGCAGCCCACCAGGCUCCCCCAUCCCUGGGGUUCUCCAGGCAUAUAUAAAUAGGUGAAGCCAUCUGGAGAACCACCUGACCUUACUUAAAUUAUGUACAUACCUUCUGAUCCAGCACUUCCAUAACCAAAGGUGAUGGCAAGAGAAAGCAUUUUGAUUCCUGAACUCCUAGGCCUCUCUGUUCUAGUUGUCAAAGACAAAGGACCACUGAAGCACCGAUUUGUUUCAAAAUACAUUCCAUAUCUUGAAGGAUAUCACCCUACACCUACAGGGUGUGAUUCUCAAGUCAUUUCCAUAACUGUUCAUGUAUGAGCUCUCCCAGCAUGCCAUAGGGGCAGUAGUUUCCCGACAAUGUAAUUGAUGAAAAUCAGCACACACCUUGAUCACGUGCCUGUUGUAAGAACUUGUUCAUCUGAAGAAAGGAUUCCGUUGAUCUAAGGAGAUAUGAGAUGGGUCUAGAAGUCAAAUACUCUGUGAGUCCUCAGACAGUAAUGCUGACUAGGAGCUAUCUCCAUCUCAUUUAAUACCUGUGGUGGAGUCCUUGUUGCACUGUCACAGAUGGAUUGAU